This is a long non-coding RNA of Passer domesticus (house sparrow), 1053 nucleotides long. RefSeq lists it as uncharacterized. The transcript has 3 exons. NCBI's taxonomy places the organism in Eukaryota, Metazoa, Chordata, Aves, Passeriformes, Passeridae. The record is from RefSeq and is a predicted model, not a curated record.
GCUUGGGAGUGUGGGUGACACAGGGGGAUCACUUAUCACUUUAUGAAUUUAUCCUAAUUCUUGCCCAGGGAAAGCUGAUCAUUCCAGUGGUAACUCACUGAAUUUGCAUUUGCAUGUCAUAUACUCUUUAGUUAACCUUCAGCAGGAAAAUCCUAAAUGAGUGAAGAGCUGGGCCAACUGUUACUGGGGUUGCUUAGCCUGGAGAAAAGGAGGCUCAAGGGAGACCUUGUUGCUCCCUACAACUCCUUGAAGGAGGGUGUAGCCAGGCGGUGGUGGGGCUCUUCUCCCAGGCAUGAAAACAAGACACCCAUUUCCCCAGAUGUCUGCAUUUCUCCCUGUGGUGUAUUUCUCACAAAAGUAUUUCGGAGUAUCAUAACCAUUGGAGAAAAAUAAAAAAGGGAGCUGUUUUGAAGGAAAGUGACACCAGUAGCAACCCGAGGACCAGGUUUUUAGCCAAGACAAAACCCAGCAAAUUCUCUGUCUACAGAGAUGUGCUCAUAUGCAUGACCCUUCAAAGACAGCCUGGUGAGAUAUCGUGAGAGUGUCUGCCAGGGCUGGUGCAAGGCUGUGCAUGUGUCAAACACAUUGGGGUAAACAAGCCCUCAUGUCUGUCUCCACUGAAACAUCUCCCAUCAGCUUUAAUGAAAACUGUGUGUGAGAUCUGGAUUUUGCACUGAUGGCAGUAAACACAACAGAAGAGUGUCAGGCUGCACUGCUGCUUGGUGUAAAUCCUUACGCCGCUUUCCGGCUCUCAGCAUUGUUUCCAUCUAUUGCAGGCAGAGUUGCUGAUCACAAAUAUUCCUGGCUAAUAAACAAUGGACAGCUUUUGGUCUCUCAAAACAGUCCCACAGAUGAAUGUAUCUGAUAAUAAAACAACAGAAUUUCAGAUAAAAAUAGGAAGUUAAUACAAGUUUUCGCAGAAUAAUGACAACUACCAGAACUAUGUGAAAAGUUUUCAUUAAUUUGUGUAUGUAGGCCAAAUGAACAGUCCAUUGCACCUACAGAAUUUCAUUCAAAUUUUUGAAAUGAAAUUCAAGAAUAAGUAGCAUAACU